This 70-nucleotide transfer RNA is filed under the name Podarcis lilfordi (Lilford's wall lizard). Its description in RNAcentral is "tRNA.Ile". The stretch from base 8 to 62 matches the Rfam family "tRNA", at positions 8 to 63 of the family's 71-position model. Rfam says of the family: Transfer RNA (tRNA) molecules are approximately 80 nucleotides in length. Lineage: Eukaryota; Metazoa; Chordata; Lepidosauria; Squamata; Lacertidae. The record is from RNAcentral.
GCCAGGAUAGCUCAGUUAGAGUGUGGUGCUGAUAACGCCAAAGUUGCAGGUUCAAUCCCUGUAUGGGACA